This 136-nucleotide unclassified non-coding RNA is filed under the name uncultured fungus. RNAcentral describes it as "sequence contains ITS1, 5.8S rRNA gene". The record is from RNAcentral. Lineage: Eukaryota; Fungi.
ACGAAUACCCCUCGCUGUGCGCCUUCGGGCCGCACGCUUGGAAUAUCCACACACCUGUGCACUCGGUUGGCGGGUUUCGGCCCGCCUCUCGCCCACACAUACUUUGUAGUCACGAACGUAACCUUCAUAAAUAAUA